This 292-nucleotide ribosomal RNA is filed under the name uncultured bacterium. RNAcentral describes it as "partial 16S ribosomal RNA". It matches the Rfam family "Archaeal small subunit ribosomal RNA", at positions 455 to 747 of the family's 1478-position model. The record is from RNAcentral.
GUGCCAGCCGCCGCGGUAAUACCGGCAGCUCAAGUGAUGGCCGAUCUUAUUGGGCCUAAAGCGUCCGUAGCUGGCCUCGAAAGUCCGUCGGGAAAUCCACGCGCCCAACGCGUGGGCGUCCGGCGGAAACUCCGAGGCUUGGGACCGGAAGGCUCGAGGGGUACGUCCGGGGUAGGAGUGAAAUCCCGUAAUCCCGGACGGACCACCGAUGGCGAAAGCACCUUGAAAGCACGGAUCCGACAGUGAGGAACGAAAGCUGGGGUCUCGAACCGGAUUAGAAACCCUGGAGUCC